AGAUGUUAGGGUUUUCGUUACCACUUCAUUCCUGUUACUCUCUCUCUCUCUCUCUCUCUCAACAUCUUGGAUCCUCUUCCAGAAGAUGUUAGGGUUUUGGUUAUACACAACUUUUCUGACCUUUCUUGAGUUGAAGCGAAUCGAAGACAAGAACAGUCCUCAGGUCUCGUUCUCCGAACGACGCGGCGGUCUCAUGAAGAAAGCCAGCAAACUCUCUGUCCACUGCGACGUCGAUGUCAGCCUCUUCGUCUUCUCCGGCCGCGGCCGCCUCCACGAGUUCUGCGGCGGCGACAGGUCUGAAAAUCAAGAAGUUUCUGUUGUGGGGACCAUCGCUUCACAACCCCAAUAGUCGCUAAUAUUAUACGCCUAGAACUGUGCUCGCUGGACAAGAAGCGUACCUAUGCUAGUUGUUCGAGUUGUGAGUGCAGUCAUUAUGGCGAUAUGGAAAGCCGUUCCGCUCAGGCUUGCUACCCGGUCUUGGGUUUUGCUUUGUAUGUAGAGAAGCGGGGUGUGUGUGUGUCAGAAAGCAAAUGUUUGGUCGAUAUUUCGUGUUACGCAUGUCUGUUGGGGUCAUGGAUUUUGCUUGUAUUAGUGGAUCGGAAGCAGAGACAAGUCUUUUCUGGUGACUAGGCUGCUAGUAUCAAGGUUUUCAAUAGCGGCAGGGGCCCGAAUAACAGUGGCAGUAACGCUGUAAUGGUAGUGGGAGCAUUGAGUUUGACGCAGGGAGAUCGAGUGUAGAGUUCAUGGAUUUCUGAAAUUGUGUUUGGUGCUAGAGCACUUAAAGCUAUUGUAGCAGUCAAGCACUGGCCGCAGCGGCUUUGAAGUGGGCAAAAAUCGGGAUACAAACUGAGAGUCUGAUAUGUAUGGGUAUUAGGCCGAUACACCUGUGAAUAUUGGGUAUCAUCGGAUACACGAUGUAAUGGUAUCAAAAGGCCAAAAUCUGAUACAUAGUGGCCGUUAUUUAAAACCUCGGCUAGUAUAUGAACGUGUACGUAUGUAAGUACAUACACACGUACAAUUGAUUACGCCUAUGUCGGACCCUCCCGUAAUUACACAACAUUAUUUCUUCAAAAAGUACAUCUGUUUAAAUCUAGGUGGUUGUGGGUGUUGUUUAAUUGCAGGUUGCACCACAAGGAAAUAGAGUUCUGGUUCGCUUGGCGGAGCUACCUGAGCGAAAAGUAUCUGAACUUGGUAUCGUUCCUGCACUGAUCUAGAUGUGAAAUUAGCUGGUGGAGUUUUGCUUCCCAAAGCAGCUGUCAAAUUUGAGCGUUACCUUAUGGGGGAGGUGAGCAAAAAUACAGUCAGCACUUCAGCAGCAGUCAAACUGAUUUGAAAUAAAAGAACUCAGUUUCCUUAUGUUGAGCAGAGACUAGUCUUUUCAGCAAAUGUGGGGUGUGUAAAUUAAAGUACUACUCCUAUGUGCUUGUCCUGAAGAUUUAAGAAAAAGGGUCUAGAUUGUCUUUAUUUUGGUCAUGCCUAGGCUAUGGAUACACAACUUUUCUGGCCGUUCCUGAAUGAGCAAGGAAAAUAACAACGAAUAGUGACUAGAUGCAUCAACGAACACAAAGACUAUUGACGGAGGCCACCACACUCCCAAACUUUAGAGUUUCUUUUGUCUCAUGUAUUUAGUAUUUACAAGAAAUCCUAGGUUUUAACUCCUGUAAAAUCUUAAUAGUUUUACUUUAAUCCCUGCGAAUUCUACAUAAUUUUAUACUUGGUCAUGUCUUUGUCAAAUUUGUGCGUCCUUUGUCCGCCACGGACUAGAUAGCCGAGGGAUGUUUGAAUCUUAGGCCCCGUUCCGCUAAGGUUUUUAUUUUUUAAGUACUAAAAUACUAAUUGAUCAAACUUUGUUCAAUGAGGAUCCACUCCAGAGCUUAGGGACCGAAAACCUCCUUUAAUAAAAGUAGACUAAGAUAUGUGAUUUGGUCGAUACCAAAUCUAUUGCUUUUCUUUUCAGUUAG
This is a long non-coding RNA of Rhododendron vialii, 1961 nucleotides long. RefSeq lists it as uncharacterized. Lineage: Eukaryota; Viridiplantae; Streptophyta; Magnoliopsida; Ericales; Ericaceae. The record is from RefSeq and is a predicted model, not a curated record. The transcript is spliced from 5 exons.